CACACACACACACACCUGUGAACUUGUGAGACGGGAAGGGAAAGAAGAGAUUCCUACCUUUCCGUCUACUCAAUCCAUUUACACAAACCCCAAUUGAUAUUUAAACUGAAUGUAAUUGUGAUGUAACACAUCAUUAGAAACUAAGUUUCAACAACGGAUCUCUUGGCUCUCGCAUCGAUGAAGAACGCAGCGAAAUGCGAUAAGUAAUGUGAAUUGCAGAAUUCAGUGAAUCAUCGAAUCUUUGAACGCACCUUGCGCUCCUUGGUAUUCCUUGGAGCAUGCCUGUUUGAGUAUCAUGAAAUUCUCAAAGGCAAUCUUUUUAUUUUAUUUAAAAAGGUUGACUUUGGACUUGGAGGUCUUUUGCAGAUGUUACAAUCUGCUCCUCUUAAAUGCAUUAGCUGGAUCUCAGUAUAUGACUUGGUUCCUACUCGGCGUGAUAAGUAAAAAGCUCGCUGAGGACAUUUUGCUUUUAUUUAGCAAAGUGGCCAGGUGUAAUGCAGAUGAACCGCUUCUAAUGGUCCAUUAGCUUGGACAAGACUUUGUUUUUACAAGUCUUCUACUUUAUGAUCUGAUCUCAAAUCAGGUAGACGCCAGUCCCUG
The sequence is a ribosomal RNA, 600 nucleotides long. The stretch from base 143 to 296 matches the Rfam family "5.8S ribosomal RNA".